Molecule: ribosomal RNA, 221 nt
Filed under: uncultured bacterium
Lineage: Bacteria
Description: partial 16S ribosomal RNA
Rfam family: Bacterial small subunit ribosomal RNA
Source: RNAcentral
UAACGCUGGGUAACCUGCCUCAUACAGGGGAAUAGCAGCUGGAAACGGCUGAUAAAACCGCAUAAGCGCACAGUGCCGCAUGGCACAGUGUGAAAAACUCCGGUGGUAUGAGAUGGACCCGCGUCUGAUUAGCUGGUUGGCGGGUAACGGCCCACCAAGGCGACGAUCAGUAGCCGGCCUGAGAGGGUGAUCGGCCACAUUGGGACUGAGACACGGCCCAA